GCUUUUUAAUUGAAAGCUAGUAUGAAUGGUCAGAUGAAAAAUUUUCUUUCUUUAUUUUAAUUAUUAGAAUUUUAUUUUUUAGUCAAAAAGCUAAAAUUAUUUUAUUAGACGAGAAGACCCUAUAGAACUUUAUUUUAUUUUUGAUUUUUAGUUUUUUGGUUUUUAUAAUUAAUUAUUAAAAUAAUAAAUUUGGUUGGGGUGACAUUUAAAUUUUUUUAACUUUAUUUAAAUUAUUUUUCAUUAAUUAAUGUUUUUUUGAUCCAUUUUUAUUGAUUAAAAGACUAAGUUACCUUAGGGAUAACAGCGUAAUUUUAUUGGAGAGUUCAUAUUAAUAAUAAAGUUUGCGACCUCGAUGUUGGAUUAA
Molecule: ribosomal RNA, 364 nt
Filed under: Xylocoris flavipes
Lineage: Eukaryota; Metazoa; Arthropoda; Insecta; Hemiptera; Anthocoridae
Description: partial 16S ribosomal RNA
Source: RNAcentral